UACGUAGGAGGCGAGCGUUGUCCGGAGUUACUGGGCGUAAAGGGUGCGCAGGCGGCGUCACGCGUGGCUCGAUGAAAUCUCCUGGCUUACCUGGGAGGGUGGGAGCCAGACGGUGGCGCUUGAGGGUCGGAGAGGGGCGUGGAAUUCCGGGUGGAGCGGUGAAAUGCGUAGAGAUCCGGAGGAACACCGACGGCGAAGGCGGCAUCCUGGACCGACACUGACGCUGAGGAGCGAAAGCCAGGGGAGCAAACGGG
RNAcentral lists this ribosomal RNA (254 nucleotides) under uncultured bacterium. RNAcentral's name for it is "partial 16S ribosomal RNA". It matches the Rfam family "Bacterial small subunit ribosomal RNA", at positions 524 to 776 of the family's 1533-position model. The record is from RNAcentral.